AUAGUAAGUUUCCUGUGGUUGCCUAUAGAAAACUUCUGAUUUCAUUUUUAAUUACUAGUAGUGCUUAAAUCACACCUUUGCCUGUUAUGCUCUGAAUUUCGAAGAUAAUGUGCAGCAGCUGAUACGAGCUCUCUGCACUUCAGAAGCACCAACCUGCAGAGCUGCCUGGGGGAGAAGGAGGAAGAAUCUCAUUUCUCUGCCUGUACCACCGCUGGGAUUAAAGGUCUGUGAAGGCUGAUGCAACUUCAGGAGCAGAGCUGACAAAGGAGUACCUGCUGGUAGCAUUGUAGGGUGCUACUGAGCACCUCCCUGCCUCAGACAUCAGUGUCCCACCCAGGGAUUCCCUCUGUUGUGAUUCCCCUCUUGCUGGGGGAAUGUUGGAGUAGUGGCUGCUCCUCAGGGUGCAGUAGCUCCAGUGUGGUGCAUCUGGCCUACUGUCAAUGAGUGUGGGGAGACCAAAGCUAUGGCUGAUGGUAGUCACAGGUGAAGUGGUUUCACUGGUGAUCAUGAUCCCAGUCAUGGGUUCUGAAAUACCUGGCACAAAUUAAGUAUCCUUGUUAUUUUCCUCCACAGCAAACAAGACAUUUUUCCUUCAUGCUUGCUAGAGAGGAACACAACUGAGAGAGAUUAGCAUAUUUAUUGGCUGAAGUAACAGAAAUUUGGGCGGGGGGUAAAUGUUGUGAAUAAGAGUCAAUUAUUACUUUCUUGACUGAAAAUUGAUCUAAGACUAUACCUGGACUUUGUUAAGGCUUGUAAAAUAGCAGAUGCUCUUACUGAGGCUGCCACAAAUGUUUUGUGAGACUUGCUUGUUCUGAUCAAGCAGUACAGAUGUGAGGAAAGCAGACCAUGUCCAUCAGAAAGAUGAAAGAAAAAGAAAGGGCCCCUUCCCACUAUUAAUUUCACUGUAUUUGGUUCCUUGAGGCUUGUUUCAUAUCACUUUGGGGUUUCCACUCCUGAUGUGUCUGUCAUGACUAAUCUCAUAAUUUAAAGUUUUAAGCCACUCAGGAUAUGGAAUGGCAAAGCUCUUACAAAAGGAUGACCAGCAAUAUGUUAAACCCAUCUUAAUUCCAUUGUUGGAAUUAAAACCACUUGCAUGUAAGCAUUAGCUGGAUAAGACAGCAAAUUGCUGCUCUCUGUAAGUGUUAAACCAACCCUAGGAAAUCUUGCACUGUUAUGAAAUUUUGUGAUUUAUAUCAGCUAUUAAGAAAUAUUAAAAGUCUUCAACUAUGCAGAAGUGCACUAUCGCUCGAGGGGAUCUGGAGAUGCUUGUAUUGUGAAGUGAUCCCUUAUGAGAAAAACUCUUCUUUAUUUGACAGCUGCAUUGUUCACCCCAUGAUCUGCUUCCAAAAUAUUUCAAGUUGUGGAUUAGCUGCACUGUUUUAAUUACUAAAUACAGGCUUUUUUAAUCAACCAUGCUUCUAAUGCCUGAGGAAUUUGCCUGAUCCUCUGGUAAAUGUUAAGUCUUUGUUAGCAAGAGGCAUUUGAAGAAUAGCUCAGUAGUCUGAAGGCUAAAGAAAAUCCAUAAAAAACAAAGAUAUAUUUUCAUUUUUCUAGUUCUGUAUAUGAAAAAAAAUGCUGAUAUGCUAU
Molecule: long non-coding RNA, 1587 nt
Organism: Zonotrichia leucophrys gambelii
Lineage: Eukaryota; Metazoa; Chordata; Aves; Passeriformes; Passerellidae
Exons: 3
Source: RefSeq, a predicted model, not a curated record